GACGAACGCUGGCGGCGUGCCUAAUACAUGCAAGUUGAGCGCUGAAGGUUGGUACUUGUACCAACUGGAUGAGCAGCGAACGGGUGAGUAACGCGUGGGGAAUCUGCCUUUGAGCGGGGGACAACAUUUGGAAACGAAUGCUAAUACCGCAUAAAAACUUUAAACACAAGUUUUAAGUUUGAAAGAUGCAAUUGCAUCACUCAAAGAUGAUCCCGCGUUGUAUUAGCUAGUUGGUGAGGUAAAGGCUCACCAAGGCGAUGAUACAUAGCCGACCUGAGAGGGUGAUCGGCCACAUUGGGACUGAGACACGGCCCAAACUCCUACGGGAGGCAGCAGUAGGGAAUCUUCGGCAAUGGACGAAAGUCUGACCGAGCAACGCCGCGUGAGUGAAGAAGGUUUUCGGAUCGUAAAAACUCUGUUGGUAGAGAAAGAAACGUUG
This 439-nucleotide ribosomal RNA is filed under the name Lactococcus lactis. RNAcentral's name for it is "bacterial SSU rRNA". It matches the Rfam family "Bacterial small subunit ribosomal RNA", at positions 28 to 456 of the family's 1533-position model. The record is from RNAcentral. Lineage: Bacteria; Bacillati; Bacillota; Bacilli; Lactobacillales; Streptococcaceae.